UGGGGAAUUUUGGACAAUGGGCGCAAGCCUGAUCCAGCCAUGCCGCGUGCGGGAAGGAGGCCUUCGGGUUGUAAACCGCUUUUGUCAGGGAAGAAACGCUCCGGGCUAAUAUCCUGGAGUAAUGACGGUACCUGAAGAAUAAGCACCGGCUAACUACGUGCAAGCAGCCGCGGUAAUACGUAGGGGGCAAGCGUUGUCCGGAUUUAUUGGGCGUAAAGAGCGUGUAGGCGGCUUGGUAGGUCCGCUGUGAAAACUCGAGGCUCAACCUCGAGAUGUCGGCGGAAACCCCCUGGCUAGAGUCCGGAAGAGGAGAGUGGAAUUCCCGGUGUAGCGGUGAAAUGCGCAGAUAUCGGGAAGAACACCGAUGGCGAAGGCAGCUCUCUGGGACGGUACUGACGCUGAGACGCGAAAGCGUGGGGAGCGAACAG
Molecule: ribosomal RNA, 428 nt
Filed under: uncultured bacterium
Lineage: Bacteria
Description: bacterial SSU rRNA
Rfam family: Bacterial small subunit ribosomal RNA
Source: RNAcentral